UACGAAGGGGGCUAGCGUUGUUCGGAAUCACUGGGCGUAAAGGGUGCGCAGGCGGGUUCAUAAGUCAGGGGUGAAAUCCCGAGGCUCAACCUCGGAACUGCCUUUGAUACUGUGGAUCUUGAGUCCGGAAGAGGUGAGUGGAACUGCGAGUGUAGAGGUGAAAUUCGUAGAUAUUCGCAAGAACACCAGUGGCGAAGGCGGCUCACUGGUCCGGAACUGACGCUGAGGCACGACAGCGUGGGGAGCAAACAGG
RNAcentral lists this ribosomal RNA (253 nucleotides) under uncultured bacterium. RNAcentral describes it as "partial 16S ribosomal RNA". It matches the Rfam family "Bacterial small subunit ribosomal RNA", at positions 524 to 776 of the family's 1533-position model. The record is from RNAcentral.